This 72-nucleotide microRNA precursor is filed under the name Nomascus leucogenys (northern white-cheeked gibbon). Its description in RNAcentral is "mir-3689 microRNA precursor family". It matches the Rfam family "mir-3689 microRNA precursor family". Lineage: Eukaryota; Metazoa; Chordata; Mammalia; Primates; Hylobatidae. The record is from Rfam by way of RNAcentral.
GGGAAGUAUGAUCCCGCGCUCCCUGGGAGGUGUGAUCCCGUGCUUCCCGGGAGGUGUGAUCCCGCGCUCCCC